ACGGCCCAGACUCCUACGGGAGGCAGCAGUGGGGAAUUUUCCGCAAUGCGUGAAAGCCUGACGGAGCUCUACCGCGUGAGGAACGAAGGCUCUCGUAUUGUACACCUCUUUUCUCAGGGAAGAACACAAUGACGGUACCUGAGGAAUCAGCAUCGGCUAACUCCGUGCCAGCAGCCGCGGUAAUACGGAGGAUGCAAGCGUUAUCCGGAAUGAUUGGGCGUAAAGCGUCCGCAGGUGGCUUAUCAAGUCGAUUGUCAAAGGUCCUGGCUCAACUGGGAACAGGCAGUGGAAACUGAAAAGCUAGAGUGCGGUAGGGGUAGAGGGAAUUCCCGGUGUAGCGGUGAAAUGCGUAGAGAUCGGGAAGAACACCAGUGGCGAAAGCGCUCUACUAGGCCUGCACUGACACUCAGGGACGAAAGCUAGGGGAGCGAAUGGGAUUAGAUACCCCAGUAGUCCUAGCCGUAAACGAUGGAUACUAGGCGUUGAGAGUAUCGACCCUCUCAGUGCCGUAGCUAACGCGUUAAGUAUCCCGCCUGGGGAGUACGCACGCAAGUGUGAAACUCAAAGGAAUUGACGGGGGCCCGCACAAGCGGUGGAGUAUGUGGUUUAAUUCGAUGCAACGCGAAGAACCUUACCAGGGCUUGACAUGUCCGGAACCUCUGGGAAACCAGGGGGUGCCUUCGGGAGCCGGAACGCAGGUGGUGCAUGGCUGUCGUCAGCUCGUGUCGUGAGAUGUUGGGUUAAUUUACGCAAGGAGCGCAACCCUCGUGCUUAGUUGCCAUCAUUAAGUUGGGAACUCUAAGCAGACUGCCGGUGACAAACCGGAGGAAGGUGGGGAUGACGUCAAGUCAGCAUGCUUUUGGCGGCGUGGGCAACACACGUACUACAAUGCUACGGACAAAGGGCAGCAAGAAUGUGAAUUCAAGCUAAUCUCAUAAAACGUGGCUCAGUUCAGAUCGCUGGCUGCAACUCGCCUGCGUGAAGG
Molecule: ribosomal RNA, 985 nt
Filed under: uncultured bacterium
Lineage: Bacteria
Description: bacterial SSU rRNA
Rfam family: Bacterial small subunit ribosomal RNA
Source: RNAcentral